CGGCAGUUAGUCUAACUAAAACAACUAAUUUCGACUUAGUUACUCUAGGUUUAAACCCUAGACUGCCAU
Molecule: transfer RNA, 69 nt
Filed under: Eutropis multifasciata (many-lined sun skink)
Lineage: Eukaryota; Metazoa; Chordata; Lepidosauria; Squamata; Scincidae
Description: tRNA-Arg
Rfam family: tRNA
About the family: Transfer RNA (tRNA) molecules are approximately 80 nucleotides in length.
Source: RNAcentral